This 263-nucleotide unclassified non-coding RNA is filed under the name plant metagenome. RNAcentral's name for it is "partial contains small subunit ribosomal RNA, internal transcribed spacer 1, and 5.8S ribosomal RNA". The record is from RNAcentral.
UUUCUGUAGGUGAACCUGCGGAAGGAUCAUUAUAGUAUAACCGAGGUGCGAGGGCUGUCGCUGACCCGAAAGGUCGUGCACGCUCGAGUGCCCUCACACACAUCCAUCUCACCCCUAUGUGCACCACCGCGUGGGUCCCCCUUUGGCUUGUUCGGAGGGGGGCUUACGUUUUCACACAAACUUUGUAUGCAGUGUAGAAUGUAUUUUUUGUUUUUGCGAUCACGCAAUCAAUACAACUUUCAACAACGGAUCUCUUGGCUCUC